AGUGAACGCUGGCGGUAGGCCUAACACAUGUAAGUCGAACGGCAGCACAGUAAGAGCUUGCUCUUACGGGUGGCGAGUGGCGGACGAGUGAGGAAUACAUCGGAAUCUACUUUUUCGUGGGGGAUAACGUAGGGAAACUUACGCUAAUACCGCAUACGACCUACGGGUGAAAGCAGGGGAUCUUCGGACCUUGCGCGAUUGAAUGAGCCGAUGUCGGAUUAGCUAGUUGGCGGGGUAAAGGCCCACCAAGGCGACGAUCCGUAGCUGGUCUGAGAGGAUGAUCGGCCACACUGGAACUGAGACACGGUCCAGACUCCUACGGGAGGCAGCAGUGGGGAAUAUUGGACAAUGGGCGAAAGCCUGAUCCAGCCAUACCGCGUGGGUGAAGAAGGCCUUCGGGUUGUAAAGCCCUUUUGUUGGGAAAGAAAAGCAGCAGGUUAAUACCCCGCUGUUCUGACGGUACCCAAAGAAUAAGCACCGGCUAACUUCGUG
RNAcentral lists this ribosomal RNA (492 nucleotides) under uncultured bacterium. RNAcentral describes it as "partial 16S ribosomal RNA". It matches the Rfam family "Bacterial small subunit ribosomal RNA", at positions 29 to 507 of the family's 1533-position model. The record is from RNAcentral.